Molecule: ribosomal RNA, 2678 nt
Filed under: groundwater metagenome
Description: bacterial LSU rRNA
Rfam family: Bacterial large subunit ribosomal RNA
Source: RNAcentral
UGAAUCUGCCGGAACUAACCGGUAAGGCUAAAUACGUCCUAUGACCGAUAGUGAACUAGUACCGUGAGGGAAAGGUGAAAAGAACCCCGAGAGGGGAGUGAAAUAGACCUGAAACCGUGUACUUACAAGGGGUCGGAGCGGAAUUUAUUCCGUGACGGCAUGCCUAUUGAAGAAUGAGCCGGCGAGUGUGUGUAUCUUGCGUAGCUAAGCCCUUCCGGGGCGGAGCUUAAGGGAAACCGAGCGUGAAUAGCGCAUUAGUAGGAUACAUACGACCCGAAGCCAGAUGAGCUUGCCAUGAGCAGGGUGAAGUUUGUCGAAAGACAGAUGGAGGCCCGAACCCGUAGGUCGUACAACGCCUUGGGAUGACUUGUGGCAAGGAGUGAAAAGCUAAUCGAAUCUGGGAAUAGCUGGUUCUCUCCGAAACAGCUUUUGGGCUGGCGUCGCCAUAUGUGCACGAGGGGGUAGAGCACUGGAAGGGACCAACAGGGAGAAAUCUCGUGGUUCCUAUCAAACUCCGAAUACCUCGUGCUCGGGCGGCAGUUAGAAGGUGGGGGCGAAGCUCCAUCGAUCGAGAGGGGAAGAGCCCUGAUCGCCACUUAAGGCCCCUAAAUCGACAUUCAGUACAUCCACAAGGAAGUGAGGACUCAUUGACAGUGAGGAUGUUGGCUUAGAAGCAGCCACCAUUUAAAGAAAGCGUAACAGCUCACUCAUCGAGAGUCCUUGCGCCGAAGAUGAUCGGGGUUAAAUGUCGUGCCGAAAUUGCGGGUUUGUACCUAUUUAGAUAGAUACAAGCGGUAGGAGAGCGUUCUGUUCGCGCUGAAGCUUAAGGGGUAACCCAAGGUGGAGCGUACAGAAGUGAGAAUGCCGGUACAAGUAACCACAAUGCGGGUGAGAACCCCGCACGUCGAAAGACCGAGGUUUCCUCAGCUAUGGUGAUCAACUGAGGGUUAGUCGGGCCUAAGGGGAUGGCGAGAGCCGCACCCGAUGGACACAGGGUUAAUAUUCCCUGACCGGCUCUCAAGGCUAUGGAGUGACGGACUGCUGUAUGUGCCGCCCAUUAUUGGAUUUGGGUCGGCGUAGUGAGGGCGUGUAUUAGGGAAAUCCGGUACACAUUAUCCCAAGCUAUGACGCAAUUUCCUCCUACGGGGGGAGAGAGGGUACAAAGCGCGGUUUCAAGAAAAUCUUCUACGCAUUCAACUUGAGAGCCGACCGUACCGCAUACCGACACAGGUGGUCAGCUCGAGUAGAGUAAGACGAACGAGUAAGAUGUCCUCAAGGAACUCGGCAAAAAAGCGGCCGUAAGUUAGCGAUAAGGCCUGCCCUGUACCCGCAAGGGUGCGGGGCCGCAGUGAAAGUUUUUCUGGCAACUGUUUACCAAAAACACAGCUCCCUGCAAACUCGUAAGAGGAAGUAUAGGGGGUGACACCUGACCAAUGCCGGAAGGUCAACCACGGUGGGUAUCUUUCGCAAGAAAGCUGCUGGACUGUGUAAGCCCCGGUGAAUGUCGGCGAUAACUAUGAACGAUUGUAGUUAUAAAAUUCGGCCAUAUGCUGGGAUAACCGUUGUAUCUUCAAGUACUCGUCGAAAGGCAGUGAAAAUCUUGAAGUGCGGUCAAUCAGCAGGAAAGGCUCUCAAAGUCGGGUGCUAUAAUUGGACGUAUGAACACACCGCCAAGUAUUGGAUGGUAUUUGUCCGGAUUCAGCGAUGGAGAAGGAAGCUUCAAUGUUUCUCUCCGUCAAAGACCGGAUCAUAAACUCCACUGGCAAGUAGUUCUUACCUUCAAUGUAGCCCAACGAGACGUCACAAAUCUUCUGCUUCUGCAAAAAUAUUUGCAAUGCGGAAGGUUGCAAAGACGAAGUGAUGGGGUCCAUUACUUUGUUGUGACGAAUUACGUCGAGCUCGUAGAAAAGGUAUUCCCGUUCUUUGAACGGUUUCCUUUUCAAUCCGAAUCCAAAAUCAGAAACUUCGCGUUGUUCAAACAAAUCGCAACAAUCGUAUAUUCAGGCGAGCAUCUUGCUCGCGAGGGAUUUAUGAAAGUUGUUGAAUUACGAGAAAAACUAAACGAAGGAAAAGGAAGGAAACGGAAAUACGAGAAACAAGAUGUAGUAGAUAAUUUGAGAGAAUCCUCAGAGACUAUACGCCGAACUCGACUCUCUUAAUUGAGAACAACGAGAUGAUAUAGUCCGACCUUUGUAGCGAUGCAGAGAAAUGCUUGCAGCUACCAAUAGCAAGCUAAAUAACAUAGGAGAAUCGUCCUAAGGUAGCGUAAUUCCUUGUCGGGUAAGUUCCGACGUGCACGAAUGGUGUAAUGACUGGAAAACUGUCUCGAGGACUCGCUCGGUGAAAAUGCACUUCCGGUGAAGAUGCCGGAUACCCAUAGUUAGACGAAAAGACCCCAGGAGCUUUACUACAGCUUCGUAUUGGCAGUACGUGCUGCAUGCGUAGCAUAGAUGGGAGGCUUUGAAGCAUCGCUUUCGGGUGGUGUGGAGCCAACAAUGAAAUACCAUUCUUGCUGUGUGUACUGUCUAACCCCGUUGGGAUCCAACGGGGGACCGUGCGUGGCGGGUAGUUUUGGUGGGGCGCUAUCCUCCUAAAGAGUAACGGAGGAGUCUAUUAAGGUUCUCUAGCCGCGAAUGGAAACCGUGGCGAUAGUGUAAUGGCAUAAGAGAGCUUAACUG